This is a non-coding RNA of Bactrocera oleae (olive fruit fly), 682 nucleotides long. The record is from RefSeq and is a predicted model, not a curated record. Lineage: Eukaryota; Metazoa; Arthropoda; Insecta; Diptera; Tephritidae.
UUUCAACGAAAUUGUUUGGUGUUCAAUUUAUUUAGGUUCGCUAAAUCUUAAUUUUAAACAAAAAAUAAUACUUAAAUAAAGGAAACGUGAAUACGGUUAAGCCUUCAUGCAAAUGUUAAUGCACUUUUAAUUUACAGGCCAAGAAACUGAAAAAAUAAUAAACUUCCGGUUGUAGGUGUAGGUGUAGUUCAUAUUUGUAGAGCACAAUUGAAAAAUAGCAGCUACCCGCACUGGGAAUUAAAAACUAUAAUGGACGAUACAAACGAUUUUAGCGAGCUCAAUUCUGAUGUAUGAUAAUUCAACAACAAUUAUAAUAUUUACAUACAUUAUGAAUAUUUCAAUAAAGCUCUUUCACCUUUUAAUUAAACCGAUUGGGUAUCAAUGAUAUCAGGAAUAUCCAUACAGAGAGCACAUCAUUUGGAUAGAUGUGAAUAUGCGUCGCUAAGCAAAACUCAACACGUUUAUCCGAAUUUAAAUGUAUGCCAGUGGACUUGAUGCGUUCAGAAAUCGAUGUGAGGUUCGUGUAAGGAAAGUUGAGGGCAUAACCAUAGAUCUGAAAAUAUGAAUAAAAGUUUUCUAGAAGAAGCAUAAUGAAAUAUUACUCAAAAUAUAAUUGUUGUAAAGUAGAAUAACCUGGGAUCAAAUAAAACUUUAUCGAAGUGUCACAAGUAUUGUUCAAAAA